GGGCCAGAUAAUUGGUUAUAUGCAUGCAGAAGUCAGGGGGGGAAAAACCAUUUAGCACACACCCUAGCUUCUUCUUUCUUGGGCGUUCUAGCUCUCUCUAAUUUUUGUUGUGCAUGAAGAAAAAAUAAAAAAACUCAUUUUGGAACAACCAUCCUUAUCUCCCCUUGGUACUGUGGUUUAACUUUGGUAGGUUUUCCUCUCCUUUUUUCUUUUCUCCUACUGGUUUUUUAGUAC
Molecule: unclassified non-coding RNA, 234 nt
Filed under: Hevea brasiliensis (rubber tree)
Lineage: Eukaryota; Viridiplantae; Streptophyta; Magnoliopsida; Malpighiales; Euphorbiaceae
Source: RNAcentral